UUCAUGGGAGAGCUGCCCACCAAUGCUCCCUUUCCCAAUGGCCCUCACUUGCACAAAUUUUCCUCAUAAUUUUCCCCGCAGCUUGAGGUCCAGCUCUGCCUAUCAGGCCUGCCAGAACCUGUGACCCCAUGUCCUGGCAACGGGAUGCACUUGGAAUGACAUGGACCACUGCUUUCUCCAUUCUUCUGCUUCAAGCACCCUGAUUUCCGUGGUGGAUGAGUCACUGGCUGGCACCUAGGCUGGGAAGAUGGAUGAGCCACCCCCAUGCUGCUGACACAGUCUGAAUACAGACUUCCUGCUCUUACCUAGGUAUGAGAUCAGGAAGAGAAGAUGUGCUUCCUAAGAAAAAGUGACUGGAUUUGUUCUGGGCUUCCUGUGGGAUUCUGGGAGAAAAAUGAAAAGGCUUUGCUGCUUUAUGAGGGUACCCAGGAAGGCUCCAGCUGUGACAAAUUGCAGGGGAACCAUGAGACAUCCCCAUGGGGAGAGUCCCACGUGUCAGGAGGUGUUUGGAGGUGACCCAGGGCAGAAGGCAACCAAGUGGACUUUGACUCCAGGCUUGAGGGGGAUCUAUGAGUUUUGCUUGCACUAAUCUGUGAAUCUUGCUUACAGGGACUGUGGCUGCCAGGCAUCCCUGAACAGAAACUGUGUCCUCUUGAGUUCUCUGGCUGGGAACAGUGAACUCAUCCAUCAGUGAACUCAUCCCUCAUCCAGGCAGGCUCAGGUUCUCAUGGCCUGGCCUAGACUUCCCAAUCACCCCACCGCUCACAGUGAGUCUCCCUGUUACUGGGAGAAAAGAACAAGGGAGCUGCUGCUGGAUGGACUUCAGCUUUGUCUUGAUGUGGAGGAGAGCAGGAAUGCUGUCAAUGCCAGGCAUCAGUCUUUCUGUUGCAGACUCCAGGCAUUAUUGGUUUGGGCCCAGUUCCCCCAAGUUCUUUUCAAACCAAGUGGCUGUGCUGAGGCGACCCUGUGCACAGGUGCCUUGCUCUGCCACCCUCCCUCUUUGGCUGCAUGGCUCCCUGCAUGUCCCACCAGCUGUGCCAAGCUGCCGUCUCCAGCCCCGUGCACAGGGCACCCUGUGAGCACCAGGCUCUGAGCGUGCUGCCUCACAGCCUGCAGUGCAGAGGUGGCCCCAGGGCACUUCCCAGGGAUUUCCCACCCACGGGUGCCACCACCCUUCCGGAAGGAAGCAGUCAGCCUUGUUUUGAGCAGCUGCCUUGCAAAUGCAUCCUCUAGCAUGCAGCUGCCUGAGCCAGGACAAAGCAACCUGUGGCCUCAAGGAGAAAAACACAGCAUUGAAAACUGACAGUGCUGCACACAGAGCAAGUGAUGCUCUCCACUAACUCCUGUGACAAUCACCUUUCUGCUUAUCAGUCUUGGUCAGGAACAUGACCUCUAUAGUUUCUUUUCCUGCCUGCUGUUGUCUUUGCAUCUGCUGCAGAGCAGAAAUUCAAGGAGAUGGAUGCAGACCUUGGUCUGCUUGGUGGAAAUACUUCUAGUGUUUUCAGGUUAGAUAAAGGUCUUUCACUAACAAAUCCUACCUGCUGACCCCAAAGCAUGUGAGAUCCUCUCAGAUUUUUUGCCAGCAUUCCUCGUACGUUUGUGUUGCUUCAAACAGGAAACAAUGCUCUUGGAAAAGCUUCUAGCAGCUCCAGAACGGGUGCCUGGAAACUCAGUGAGCUAGUGCCAAUGCAGAGCUCAGAAGUGCUCUUUCCACAUGUGCUACCUCUUGGAAGCCAAGGAGGGAUUCCUAGGGCCGGGAAGAGAGAGUGUAUGCCACCAUGUGGCAGCAGAUUCCCAAGUGUGGAGCUCAAGAGAGCUUCAGGCAGGCCCAGCUCAUAGCUCAGGCUGAGGAGGGCCUGGCCCUUGCAGGCAGAACUUCAGCAAGGAGCUAUGACUUCUGUGCAUGGGCAGGGAGGUGCUGUACAGGCACCCUGUCCCAUCCCCAAAGACACCAGCCACCCCCUCCGUGAAGGUAAGAUUUAUUCUGCAAUUGAGCAGCCCUGGAAUUUACCAUGGAAGACAAUAUUCAUCUGAGAAUUGUGUUCCAGCACCAAAGACCCAUUAUUCACAGUGACAGCCUGCAGAGCUGAAAAUAAACAAAGAACAAAGUCAAAUCAAGUAGCUUUGGACAGAAACCACCCUGCCUCAAGGCAGAAGACAACUUCUGAGCAAGAGAGACAGCUUCUGAGGAAGAAACUCUUUUGGAAGCACAUUAUCCUACUGAUGCAAAGCUUCUUUCUUUUGUCUCAGAGGCAACCAGAAACCAGCCUGCCAGAAAACUUUGGGCGAGAUGGAGGCUUAAUUUGAUCCAGACUGUUCUUAUCUCCUAUAUUUUCACUGUAAAAAAAAAAAAAAGUUUCUCACAUUUCUGGCCUAAAUGAAGAGAGCCCUAAAUAUCUGAAGUUAAUAUAAAAAGCCCCUGCAUUGUUUGUAGCCUGAAUUUAUGCUGCAAUGAGGCCUCUGAGCUGUCACUCAUAUCAACAGGCUCUUAACUCUAAAGUCAGCAAUGGCCACUCAGGCCUUAGCUUCCCUCACUAUUGCAUGCUGCCUGAGGAUCUGUUUAUCCCCGAGGCUCUGUGCUGCCCUCCUAGACAGCAAAAUGCCUAUUUCUGCCUCCUCAACGGCUCUUCCAGGGUGUUGCACAGUAACUGCUAAUCUAUAAACUGCUGUAUUCUAUAAAUACAGCACUGUCAGCUUAAAACACAUUUUAGUAUAGAGAGGAGUAGCAUGGGGACAACUACCGAGUUGGGUUACUUGGGUUUCUCAUACUCUUAACUGCUACACUGUAAUUUGGAGGUGGGAAUGAAGCUAUUGACAAUUCUGAGGUCUUUUGCCAUAGACAUCCAGGUAGUCCAAAGCACCCUGUUCCCAAAAAACUUGGAGUAAACUUCUCCUGAGCAUCUGGAUCCGUGCAAGCUACUGCUAUAUCAAGGUUUAUCUUGGUUGCUGGGCCCUGAUCACACCAGGUGUUUUCCAAAAUCUCCUAUUCUUUGCUUUUCAGAGGAAAUGUGUCUAAGAGGCUAGACCAUGCUGGCAGACCUCCAAGCCCUUGUGCUGAUUUGCCCUGGUGGAGACUCCAACCCACUGUUGCUGUCUGGGAAAACCAGAUCCAUGUGUCCUUGAGAAGAGCACAUUGAAGAUCAGAGUGUGGACUGGGGAAAAAUGGGCCAGAUCUGCCCCUUCUGCUUCCCUCUGUGCUUGUGCAGGGUAGAGCAAAGCAUCGACUCAGAAGGCAGGGCGAGCCUGUGGAAAUCAGAUGCAGCACAGAGGAAGAGGAGGAAGGACAUGGGGUCUUCAGUAUCAGGAUGGAAAUGUGGAACCUCAACUUUCAAAAGUCAUCCAGUUGGGUUUAUAGUCGAACUCAUGCUGGCUGGAGAAAUAGCCCAUCAUACACAGCAACAAACACUCAAAACAAAUCAAAAAGCAUUAAAAAAUAUUGUCCUGCCUGACUGCUCCAGAUGAGUUUUGUAGUGAAUCUGAAGGUGCUUUUUUCCUGGAGUCCUGUGCUCCCAUUAUGCUGCCCACGAGCUGCAUGGGAUCAGGGCUUGGCACCAUGGGUCACCAGAGAUAGUCACCUUAAUCAGCUUAAACCAGAGCUUGACUCAGGCCUCAAACUGUGCCACCCAUCCCAAGGGAAGGUCUCUGAAACAGAGAGUGACCGCCCUGAAAAUUCCUCCUGUGGUCACUUUUGUAAAGUCCUGCUCAGCUCAGAGAAGGCUGGGGAAAGAAGUUAGUGGCAUUCUGUCUCUAAAAAGCAGAAUGUUUCUGCUGUGAUUCAUUUUGUCUCGGGUUUUGGCCUGUUUUGCUAAUUUGUGGGAAGCCAAUUCAGCAGAAUUGGUAACCGGUUGUUUGCAGAUGCCAACUUUGGGAUGGAAGGCUGUUGCCUUCCACCUGGGAGACGUGGGGGAUACUAUUACCAACACAAAUUGGGGCACAGUCAUUUCCUCCAUCAUGUCCUUGGAGAUGUGCAGAGAUGGGCCUCUUGUGUCUGUGGGGCUAGUCUGGCUGGUUUUUUAUUUGUUUCUUUGAAAGAGCAAUAAACACCUUUGGACCGCCCCAUGGAGGACUGAAUUGUAGCACAGUGUCCUCAAUUUGCCUUCUGCUCCCACUGCCUGUUGUCUUCGCUCCGUUGUGGCAUGUGUGAGGAUGGAUAUGUCUGUCCCAAGAAAUUGUCUGCAGUCAUUUUGCAGUCCCUUUGACAUCUGACAGAGCACUUGUGGCCCACAGACCACAGGCUGAGAAGCACUGUGUGGGGUGAUGUGUACUCAGUUGCCUCCCAGGACUCAGGUUCUUUCAAACACAUAAAAAGAAGCAGUUUCUGUCCUGGAAAAGACAUUGCCUUGGGCAGACAAGCAUGGGGGAGGCAAGGACAGGGACACCCCAACCACCCAGCUGGUCCUCCAGCCCAGGGACCUGACUUUCCCAGAGCUACUGUCUGAGCAGCCCAGGUGAAGAUUUGGGGGGGUCCCGCUUGCAGCUGUGCUGUGACAUGGGAUGGGGAUGCUGGCAAAGGGCAGGCAGGUAGGGAG
Molecule: long non-coding RNA, 4529 nt
Organism: Zonotrichia albicollis (white-throated sparrow)
Lineage: Eukaryota; Metazoa; Chordata; Aves; Passeriformes; Passerellidae
Source: RefSeq, a predicted model, not a curated record